This 436-nucleotide long non-coding RNA is filed under the name Homo sapiens (human). RNAcentral's name for it is "HSALNT0018610". Lineage: Eukaryota; Metazoa; Chordata; Mammalia; Primates; Hominidae. The record is from RNAcentral.
CGGAGUGGGAGUUACAUCACCAGGAGUCAAUUUCCUGGUUCUCCAGCUUGCCGUUGGCAGAUCUUGGAACUUGUAGGCCUCUAUAAUUGUGGUCAAGUUUCAGGUGAAAUCACUAGACAAGAAAUAUCAUUCAGACUGCCUAGGGCUGUGUUCUGAAGCUACAGAGGUACCUUGAUGUCAGGAAGAAUAGCAAUGGCAGAAAAUGUUUCAUCUUGCAUGCCAGCACAGACCAAUGGCAAUGGAUGUCUGAAUCACUGGGUUAACAAGGAAAAGAAUGCUGUGCUUAAGUAGCAAUGUCUGCUCUGAGCAUGGCAGGAGAAAUUAUUGGCACCUCUGUCAGAUAUUUGAUAUCUAUUUCUUAAAUAGAAUACAUACAUAUUCUAAGAACAAGAAAAGCAUAAACAAAUUAAUAAAUUACUUUCUGACUUCUAAACCA